RNAcentral lists this ribosomal RNA (292 nucleotides) under uncultured bacterium. RNAcentral describes it as "partial 16S ribosomal RNA". The record is from RNAcentral.
GGACUACCGGGGUAUCUAAUCCUGUUUGCUCCCCACGCUUUCGUGUCUCAGCGUCAGUACUCGUCCAGUUGGCCGCCUUCGCCACAGGUAUUCCUCUCGAUAUCUACGAAUUUCACCUCUACACCGAGAAUUCUACCAACCUCUCCGGUACUCAAGCCGCACAGUAUCGAGUGCACUUCCUGGGUUGAGCCCAGGGCUUUCACAUCCGACUUAUGCGGCCGCCUACACACGCUUUACGCCCAGUAAUUCCGAACAACGUUUGCACCCUCUGUCUUACCGCGGCGGCUGGCAC